GAAAUGCGAUAAGUAAUGUGAAUUGCAGAAUUCAGUGAAUCAUCGAAUCUUUGAACGCACCUUGCACUCCUUGGUAUUCCGAGGAGUAUGCCUGUUUGAGUGUCAUUAAAUUCUCAAACCCUCCUAGUCUUUAUUGACGAAGAGGCUUUGGAUGUGGGAGUUGCUGGCUUUUACGAGUCAGCUCUCCUUAAAUACAUUAGUGGUUACUGUUCAUCCACUUCCUGGUGUGAUAAUUAUCUACGCCUAGUGGUGAUGUUAAGUGUAGCUGCUCUCUAACCGUCCAUUCUAUGUGGACAACUUGAACCCUUUGACCUCAAAUCAGGUAGGACUACCCGCUGAACUUAA
RNAcentral lists this unclassified non-coding RNA (345 nucleotides) under uncultured Agaricomycetes. RNAcentral describes it as "sequence contains ITS1". The stretch from base 1 to 105 matches the Rfam family "5.8S ribosomal RNA", at positions 50 to 154 of the family's 154-position model. The record is from RNAcentral. Lineage: Eukaryota; Fungi; Basidiomycota; Agaricomycetes.